Molecule: RNA transcript, 1564 nt
Organism: Triticum aestivum (bread wheat)
Lineage: Eukaryota; Viridiplantae; Streptophyta; Magnoliopsida; Poales; Poaceae
Gene name: 5'-3' exonuclease
Exons: 6
Source: RefSeq, a predicted model, not a curated record
UAUCCACAUCCGCAACUCCCACAUCCCCUUCCCACCAAACCGAGCACCACCAUGCCACUGCCGCUGCCCGCCGUGGGCACGGGCACCGCGUCGGCGAUAGCUCCGGUCACCGCCGCCGCGGCAGCAGCGCCCCUUAGAUAUCGUCCCAUACGACUCCGCGCAUCUCCCUCGACGGUUUCCUCUCCUUCAACCUCUGCGAUCUCCAGCUCACCGCCCCCGCCGUCUGCGAGGCAUUCCCGCAAACACUUGGCGGGCAGAGGCGACGCCCCGGCGAGGCCCUCAAAGGGCCGGGUGUUCUUCCUCGACGUCAACCCGAUAUGCUUCCGCGGCUCCCAGCGCAGCCUCAGUGCCUUCGCGCGCUGGCUCGCGCUCUUCUUCACGCACGUCAGCCUCCGCGACCCCGUUGUGGCCGUCUUCGACGGGGCAGGCGGGAACGAGUACCGGAGGCGGCUGCUGCCGUCCUACAAAGCGCACCGGACUCGCGGCGCAGGCACUGGUGCCGAUUCCCGCGUGGUCGACGUGCUCCGCGAGUGCAAUGUUCCGAUUGUGCAAGUCGAUGGAUAUGAAGCAGACGAUGUAGUGGCUACCUUGACAGAGCAAGUAUUACAGAAAGGUUAUAGAGUUGUCAUUGCCUCACCUGACAAGGACUUCAAGCAGUUGAUAUCUGAAGAUGUUCAGUUAGUUAUGCCCAUUCCUGAGAUUGGCCGAUGGUCCUUCUAUACGCUGAGGCAUUAUGUUGCACAAUACAAGUGUGAUCCAACUGUAGAUUUGAGCCUCAGAUGCUUUAUGGGUGAUGAAGCAGAUGGUGUUCCGGGAAUCCAGCAUCUGGCUCCUGGUUUUGGUCGCAAGACUGCGGUGAAACUACUGAACAAACAUGGUUCAUUGGAAAACCUACUUAAUACAGCUGCAGUUAGAACUGUAGGCAAGGAGUAUGCCCAGGAUGUGUUGGUCAAACAUGCAGAUUACUUGCGAAAAAACUAUGAAGUUCUCAGUUUGAGGAGGGAUGUAAAUGUUCAGCUUGAUGACAGAUGGUUAUCCACAAGGGACACUUGUAAUGACACCAGUGUGUUAUCUGACUUCAUCACUAAAUUCAACUAAGGACAGAAGCUAAAUAGUGGGUAAAAAGCAAAUAUGACCAAUUUUGUUUCUUCCUCUUAAGCUCUAUUUACCAUCAGACCAUCAUCAGUGAAAAAAGGCUUUCAAUAGUUAGAUGAGGCAGUCUCUUGGCAAGGUUACUUGGUUCAGAACUGGAACUCGAACAGCAGCUGUGCCUAACCAACCCACGCUGUUUUUAUCUCGUUGAACGAGCAGGUGAUGCUGGGUACAAAACGCAGGGGUGUGGUCCAGGAGCAGUGUAGUACUACGUGCAGCGUCACAGUGAUGGGAGUGACCCAUCGUCUCAUCUCACCCGAAGACAGACACCGGACAUGCUAUCUCAGCUUUUUUUUUUGUCAUGCUAGUAGCAUAUCUUAAAGGAGCCAACACAGAUUGCAGAUCUGAUCUGAUGUAAUGUAAUCCUCGGAUGCUAUUACUCGCUGCUGCUAAUUGAAUACUGUGCUGGUCA